RNAcentral lists this ribosomal RNA (288 nucleotides) under uncultured bacterium. Its description in RNAcentral is "partial 16S ribosomal RNA". It matches the Rfam family "Bacterial small subunit ribosomal RNA", at positions 773 to 1060 of the family's 1533-position model. The record is from RNAcentral.
GUGGAUUAGCUACCCUGGUAGUCCACGCCGUAAACGAUGUCGACUUGGAGGCUGUUUCCUUGAGAAGUGGCUUCCGGAGCUAACGCGUUAAGUCGACCGCCUGGGGAGUACGGCCGCAAGGUUAAAACUCAAAUGAAUUGACGGGGGCCCGCACAAGCGGUGGAGCAUGUGGUUUAAUUCGAUGCAACGCGAAGAACCUUACCUGGCCUUGACAUCCAGAGAACUUAGCAGAGAUGCUUCGGUGCCUUCGGGAACUCUGAGACAGGUGCUGCACGGUCGUCGUCAGCU